GACGAACGCUGGCGGCGUGCCUAAUACAUGCAAGUCGAGCGAAGUUUUUCUGGUGCUUGCACUAGAAAAACUUAGCGGCGAACGGGUGAGUAACACGUAAAGAACCUGCCUCAUAGACUGGGACAACUAUUGGAAACGAUAGCUAAUACCGGAUAACAGUAUUUCUCGCAUGAGAGAUAUUUAAAAGUUGGUUAUGCUAACACUAUGAGAUGGCUUUGCGGUGCAUUAGCUAGUUGGUGGGGUAAAGGCCCACCAAGGCGACGAUGCAUAGCCGACCUGAGAGGGUGAUCGGCCACACUGGGACUGAGACACGGCCCAGACUCCUACGGGAGGCAGCAGUAGGGAAUCCUCCGCAAUGGGCGAAAGCCUGACGGAGCAACGCCGCGUGAGUGAAGAAGGAUUUCGGUUCGUAAAGCUCUGUUGUUAGGGAAGAAUGGAUAUGCAGUAACUAUACAUGUAAGAGACGGUACCUAACCAGAAAGCCACGGCUAACUACGUG
RNAcentral lists this ribosomal RNA (499 nucleotides) under uncultured bacterium. RNAcentral's name for it is "partial 16S ribosomal RNA". It matches the Rfam family "Bacterial small subunit ribosomal RNA", at positions 28 to 507 of the family's 1533-position model. The record is from RNAcentral.